This 465-nucleotide ribosomal RNA is filed under the name uncultured Klebsiella sp. RNAcentral describes it as "bacterial SSU rRNA". It matches the Rfam family "Bacterial small subunit ribosomal RNA", at positions 338 to 795 of the family's 1533-position model. The record is from RNAcentral. Lineage: Bacteria; Pseudomonadati; Pseudomonadota; Gammaproteobacteria; Enterobacterales; Enterobacteriaceae.
CCUACGGGAGGCUGCAGUGGGGAAUAUUGCACAAUGGGCGCAAGCCUGAUGCAGCCAUGCCGCGUGUGUGAAGAAGGCCUUCGGGUUGUAAAGCACUUUCAGCGGGGAGGAAGGCGGUGAGGUUAAUAACCUCAUCGAUUGACGUUACCCGCAGAAGAAGCACCGGCUAACUCCGUGCCAGCAGCCGCGGUAAUACGGAGGGUGCAAGCGUUAAUCGGAAUUACUGGGCGUAAAGCGCACGCAGGCGGUCUGUCAAGUCGGAUGUGAAAUCCCCGGGCUCAACCUGGGAACUGCAUUCGAAACUGGCAGGCUAGAGUCUUGUAGAGGGGGGUAGAAUUCCAGGUGUAGCGGUGAAAUGCGUAGAGAUCUGGAGGAAUACCGGUGGCGAAGGCGGCCCCCUGGACAAAGACUGACGCUCAGGUGCGAAAGCGUGGGGAGCAAACAGGAGUAGAUACCCUAGUAGUC